UAAUACCUGCUGGAGAGCGAUUUCCUA
This 27-nucleotide non-coding RNA is filed under the name Mus musculus (house mouse). Lineage: Eukaryota; Metazoa; Chordata; Mammalia; Rodentia; Muridae. The record is from RNAcentral.